This is a long non-coding RNA of Oxyura jamaicensis (ruddy duck), 752 nucleotides long. RefSeq lists it as uncharacterized. The record is from RefSeq and is a predicted model, not a curated record. Lineage: Eukaryota; Metazoa; Chordata; Aves; Anseriformes; Anatidae. The transcript has 2 exons.
CGGGGCGCGGCCGCCAUGACGGGGGGGGGCUGAGGCGGCUCGAGAAGAUGGCGAGCGCCGCGGGCGGGGGGCUUGUGGCAGGGUUUUCGUCCUCCUUUUCUCCUCGUUGAGCCAAUGGAGCAGUUCGGCAGGAAGACAGAAAGCUGAGAGAAAUCAACCACAACAAUGCUGUAAUAACCUGAGCGUGGCAGUUAAAGCACACCUACAGGGACAAGAGUUCACAUCCUGCCAGGUGGAAAGGAGUGUUGAACCCUCAGAUCUUUAAGAUCCAGAGAAAGUGAUCUAACCACUGCUUUUCAGACAAAAGAGUGGUGGGGUAGCUUCACAACUCAUCUGUAUUUGUGCAGAACCUGACUUGGUGGGUGUCCUUUGAGGAGUGAUACUGGAACACAUGUUGAGUUUGUAAACCCUGGUGAGGUUUAGGAAUGAAGUAAGUGUUGACUUCCUCAACAUAGUCAGGACUGGAAGCUUUUCUGAGCAUAUCCACAUGCAAAAACUUGAGCUGCCCAGACCUUUUGAUAGCUGCUAAGUGACCUUUUAAGGAUGGCAGGUUUUAUUUUAGUAAAGUGCAAAUUAAACAAGGUUGACACACCUGAGUCCAUUAUUUGGUGCAUUUUGGCCCUGGUAUUUGGACGUUACAACAAGGUAACAGCACAAACAGAGCAUAUUAACAGAACUUGUCAAAAAAACUAGCAACAGCACUCAAGUACAAGGACAAAAAGGGCACAUGUAAUCAGAAGCUCCAGUAAGAG